This 368-nucleotide ribosomal RNA is filed under the name uncultured organism. Its description in RNAcentral is "bacterial SSU rRNA". It matches the Rfam family "Bacterial small subunit ribosomal RNA", at positions 526 to 896 of the family's 1533-position model. The record is from RNAcentral.
CGGAGGAUCCAAGCGUUAUCCGGAUUUAUUGGGUUUAAAGGGUGCGUAGGCGGCUUAUUAAGUCAGGGGUGAAAGACGGUGGCUCAACCAUCGCAGUGCCUUUGAUACUGAUGAGCUUGAAUGAACUUGAGGUAGGCGGAAUGUGACAAGUAGCGGUGAAAUGCAUAGAUAUGUCACAGAACACCAAUUGCGAAGGCAGCUUACUAAAGUUUAAUUGACGCUGAGGCACGAAAGCGUGGGGAUCAAACAGGAUUAGAUACCCUGGUAGUCCACGCCCUAAACGAUGAAUACUCGAUGUUAGCGAUAUACAGUUAGCGUCUAAGCGAAAGCGUUAAGUAUUCCACCUGGGGAGUACGCCCGCAAGGGUG